Molecule: ribosomal RNA, 491 nt
Filed under: uncultured bacterium
Lineage: Bacteria
Description: bacterial SSU rRNA
Rfam family: Bacterial small subunit ribosomal RNA
Source: RNAcentral
AUUGAACGCUGGCGGCAUGCCUUACACAUGCAAGUCGAACGGUAACAGGGAGCUUGCUCCGCUGACGAGUGGCGAACGGGUGAGUAAUGUAUCGGAACGUACCAUUCAGUGGGGGAUAACGUAGCGAAAGUUACGCUAAUACCGCAUAUUCUGUGAGCAGGAAAGCAGGGGAUCGCAAGACCUUGCGCUGAUUGAGCGGCCGAUAUCAGAUUAGCUAGUUGGUGAGGUAAAGGCUCACCAAGGCGACGAUCUGUAGCGGGUCUGAGAGGAUGAUCCGCCACACUGGAACUGAGACACGGUCCAGACUCCUACGGGAGGCAGCAGUGGGGAAUUUUGGACAAUGGGGGCAACCCUGAUCCAGCCAUGCCGCGUGAGUGAAGAAGGCCUUCGGGUUGUAAAGCUCUUUCGGUCCGGGAAAAAGUACGACAUCAGUUAAUACCUGGUGUGGAUGAUGGUACCGGAAGUAAGAAGACACCGGCUAACUACGUACG